UCUCCCGGCGGGGAAUCGAACCCCGGUCUCCGCGUGACAGGCGGGGAUACUCACCAAUAUACUACUGAGGA
Molecule: transfer RNA, 71 nt
Filed under: Araneus ventricosus
Lineage: Eukaryota; Metazoa; Arthropoda; Arachnida; Araneae; Araneidae
Description: tRNA-Asp
Source: RNAcentral